RNAcentral lists this unclassified non-coding RNA (349 nucleotides) under fungal sp. Its description in RNAcentral is "partial internal transcribed spacer region". The stretch from base 1 to 46 matches the Rfam family "Eukaryotic small subunit ribosomal RNA", at positions 1786 to 1831 of the family's 1831-position model. The record is from RNAcentral. Lineage: Eukaryota; Fungi.
AAGUCGUAACAAGGUUUCCGUAGGUGAACCUGCGGAAGGAUCAUUAUCAACGUAUCCACGUUUAUAAACCAAUCCGUGCACUGUCUGCUUAACCUUUGGGCUAUCGGCCGCUGUCUAUGGCGUUAAACUCAUUGUAUGGUUAUGGGUUUGCCAUGCGACAAUCUCAAGGCUGUCUCUCCAAAGUGUAUUAACCAUACGUUACAAAUUAUUAACCACUUGAACCAAUUUUAAUUAUUACUUUGUUUGAACUGAUUUGUUUCUUACUCAGCGCUCUUAACCGAGUGCAGAGAAGAAAUCGAAUUACGAAACAAUAAAAGAACAACUCUUAGCAACGGAUAUCUUGGUUCUC